UCAGGCUUCAGGUCGCAGUGGACGAUGUUCUUGAAAUGCAGAUGUCGGAGGGCAACCAGGACCUGAGGGGACAGGAAAUUGGUCUGUCUCACUGGGAGC
This is a non-coding RNA of Notechis scutatus (mainland tiger snake), 99 nucleotides long. NCBI's taxonomy places the organism in Eukaryota, Metazoa, Chordata, Lepidosauria, Squamata, Elapidae. The record is from RefSeq and is a predicted model, not a curated record.